Molecule: non-coding RNA, 924 nt
Filed under: Isthmohyla infucata
Lineage: Eukaryota; Metazoa; Chordata; Amphibia; Anura; Hylidae
Description: partial 12S ribosomal RNA
Rfam family: Bacterial small subunit ribosomal RNA
Source: RNAcentral
UGGUCCUGACCUUGUAAUCAAUUUUUACUUAACUUAUACAUGCAAGUAUCCGCACCCCUGUGAGAACGCCCUUAACUUUCCCCUAGAAACAAGGAGCUGGUAUCAGGCACAAUUUUUAGCCCAAAACACCUAGCUACGCCACAUCCACAAGGAAAUUCAGCAGUAAUUAACAUUGAGCAUAAGCGCCAGCUUGACUCAGUCAAAGUAAAUAGAGCCGGCAAAUAUGGUGCCAGCCGCCGCGGUUACACCAUGGGCUCAAACUGAUUACCUUCGGCGUAAAGCGUGAUUAAAGUUAUUUAACCGUUAUAGUUGAAUUUUAACUAAGCUGUGACACGCUUGUUUAUAAGAAACCCAUAGACGAAAGUUACUAUAAUUUCAUCAACUUGAAUUCACGACAGCUAGGAUACAAACUGGGAUUAGAUACCCCACUAUGCCUAGCCGUAAACUUUAAAUUACACCCGUAUCGCCAGGGAACUACGAGCAAAGCUUAAAACCCAAAGGACUUGACGGUACCCCAUAUCCAUCUAGAGGAGCCUGUCCUGUAAUCGAUAACCCCCGUUAAACCUCACCAUUUCUAGCUUUUUCAGCCUGUAUACCUCCGUCGCCAGCCUACCUCGUGAGCGCAAUUUAGUGGGCUUAACGUCUUUACAUCAAUACGUCAGGUCAAGGUGCAGUAAAUGAAAUGGGAAGAGAUGGGCUACACUCUCUAUUCUAGAGCAAACGAAAGACUAUUUAUGAAACUUAGUCGGAAGGCGGAUUUAGUAGUAAAAAGAGACCAUUGAGCUCUUUUUAACCCGGCACUGGGGUGUGUACACACCGCCCGUCACCCUCUUCGAAGCCAAACUUGCAGUACUUAACUAAAUCUAGCAAUAUAGAAGAGGCAAGUCGUAACAUGGUAAGCGCACCGGAAGGUGUGCUUGGAAA